AAAACCUCAAACCCUCAUCUCUCUCUCAUCUCUCAACCGAUUUGGGUGAUCCAAAAGGCUAAGUUGUGAGAUUUUUCGAGGGCAACGUGUUGGUGAGCUCAGAUAGUGAUUUGGAGUCCCCGUUUGAGCGGGGCAGCGUUUCGAGGACGUUCGGAAAGGAAAAGCUCCGGAGAAGUGAUUUUGGAGCGCGUGUGAUCGGCUUUAAGGUUCGGGCACUAGUAGCCAGCGUUGAUCGAGCUUAGAACAGACUGAUCCGGAGACAGGAGUAAGCACACGACGUUUUGUACUAUUUCAGUCUCCAUCUGUAUAUAUAGACU
Solanum stenotomum is the source of this 317-nucleotide long non-coding RNA. RefSeq lists it as uncharacterized. The record is from RefSeq and is a predicted model, not a curated record. The transcript has 3 exons. Lineage: Eukaryota; Viridiplantae; Streptophyta; Magnoliopsida; Solanales; Solanaceae.